UGACGGGGCCGCACAAGCGGAGGAGCAUGUGGUUAAUUCGAUGAUACGCGAGGAACCUUACCUGGGCUCGAACGUAAGAUGACUGUAGGUGAAAGCUUACAUCUCUUCGGAGCAUUUUACGAGGUGCUGCAUGGUUGUCGUCAGCUCGUGCCGUGAGGUGUCGGGUUAAGUCCCAUAACGAGCGCAACCCCUACCUUUAGUUGCCAUCAGGUUAAGCUGGGGACUCUAAAGGAACUGCCUACGCAAGUAGUGAGGAAGGCGGGGAUGACGUCAAAUCAGCACGGCCCUUACGUCCAGGGCUACACACGUGCUACAAUGGCCGAUACAGAGGGCAGCUACCUGGUGACAGGAUGCAAAUCUCCAAAGUCGGUCUCAGUUCGGAUCGGAGUCUGCAACCCGACUCCGUGAAGUUGGAUUCGCUAGUAAUCGCGCAUCAGCCAUGGCGCGGUGAAUACGUUCCCGGGCCUU
This 468-nucleotide ribosomal RNA is filed under the name uncultured Sphingobacteriales bacterium. RNAcentral's name for it is "bacterial SSU rRNA". It matches the Rfam family "Bacterial small subunit ribosomal RNA", at positions 917 to 1381 of the family's 1533-position model. The record is from RNAcentral. Lineage: Bacteria; Pseudomonadati; Bacteroidota; Sphingobacteriia; Sphingobacteriales.